Molecule: ribosomal RNA, 460 nt
Filed under: uncultured bacterium
Lineage: Bacteria
Description: partial 16S ribosomal RNA
Rfam family: Bacterial small subunit ribosomal RNA
Source: RNAcentral
CCUACGGUGUGCAGCAGUGAGGAAUAUUGGUCAAUGGGCGAGAGUCUGAACCAGCCAAGUAGCGUGAAGGAUGACUGCCCUAUGGGUUGUAAACUUCUUUUAUAUGGGAAUAAAAUGUUCCACGUGUGGGAUUAUGUAUGUACCAUAUGAAUAAGGAUCGGCUAACCCCGUGCCAGGAGCCGCGGUAAGACGGAGGAUGGGAGCGAUAGCCGGAUUUAUUGGGUUUAAAGGGAGCGUUGGGGGAGUGUUAAGUCAGUUGUGAAAGUUUGGGGUUCAACCGUAAAAUUGCAGUUGAAACUGGCAGUCUUGAGUACAAUAGAGGUAGGCGGAAUGCGUGGUGUAGCGGUGAAAUGCUUAGAUAUCACGAAGAACUCCGAUUGCGAAGGCAGCUCACUGGCCUGCAACUGACACUGAGGCACGAAAGUGUGGGUAUCAAACAGGAUUAGAUACCCCAGUAGUC